This is a long non-coding RNA of Ictalurus punctatus (channel catfish), 365 nucleotides long. The record is from Ensembl. Lineage: Eukaryota; Metazoa; Chordata; Actinopteri; Siluriformes; Ictaluridae.
GUGUGGAGUUGUUAGGUGUUGAGUGUGUAGGUGUGUAAGUGUGUAGGUGUGUAAGUGUGUAGGUGUGUAGGUGUGUGAGUGUGUAAGUGUGUGAGUGUGUAAGUGUGUAGGUGUGUGAGUGUGUGAGUGUGUAGGUGUGUGAGUGUGUAAGUGUGUAGGUGUGUGAGUGUGUAAGUGUGUAAGUGUGUGAGUGUGUGAGUGUGUGAGUGUGUAAGUGUGUAGGUGUGUGAGUGUGUGAGUGUGUGAGUGUGUAAGUGUGUAGGUGUGUGAGUGUGUGAGUGUGUGAGUGUGUGAGUGGUGCAGUGUGUAAGUGUGUAGGUGUGUGAGUGUGUGAGUGUGUAAGUGUGUGAGUGUGUAGUGUGUAG